This 73-nucleotide transfer RNA is filed under the name Anaerolineaceae bacterium. RNAcentral's name for it is "tRNA-Thr". It matches the Rfam family "tRNA". Rfam says of the family: Transfer RNA (tRNA) molecules are approximately 80 nucleotides in length. Their secondary structure includes four short double-helical elements and three loops (D, anti-codon, and T loops). Further hydrogen bonds mediate the characteristic L-shaped molecular structure. tRNAs have two regions of fundamental functional importance: the anti-codon, which is responsible for specific mRNA codon recognition, and the 3' end, to which the tRNAs corresponding amino acid is attached (by aminoacyl-tRNA synthetases). tRNAs cope with the degeneracy of the genetic code in two manners: having more than one tRNA (with a specific anti-codon) for a particular amino acid; and 'wobble' base-pairing, i.e. permitting non-standard base-pairing at the 3rd anti-codon position. The record is from RNAcentral. Lineage: Bacteria; Bacillati; Chloroflexota; Anaerolineae; Anaerolineales; Anaerolineaceae.
GCCCUCUUAGCUCAAUUGGCAGAGCACGUUACUUGUAAUAAUGAGGUUAUGGGUUCGAGUCCCAUAGAGGGCU